This is a long non-coding RNA of Phyllostomus discolor (pale spear-nosed bat), 597 nucleotides long. RefSeq lists it as uncharacterized. The transcript has 3 exons. The record is from RefSeq and is a predicted model, not a curated record. Lineage: Eukaryota; Metazoa; Chordata; Mammalia; Chiroptera; Phyllostomidae.
GUCCUGGGACCGGUCUUGGGAGAGGGGAGGGGCUGAGCUGCAGGACGGCCCUCACUCCCAACCAGAGACCGGCUGCAGCAGGACAGGUAAGACGCAGACAGCCUGCGCCUCCACAAACCUCACACCAAGAGGACAUGCAGGGAAAGGAGGCAUUCCUCCCAGAACAUGCUGGGAAAAGCAAGCUCCAGCUUCUGACCUCCCCUCCCUGAUCAGGGCUGGCUGUGGGAGGCAGGUGAGUCCCCUGGAGGACCUUCUGCAGCUGUCAGAGUGUGACUGGACCAAAGACAGCUCGGCCAACCUGCUCCCCACCUGUGUCCCGCGUGGUCCCACUUCUGAGAGUGGCCCACUCCGUAGUGGCCAUCGCCUCUGCCUGGACUCCCAGCAGGACUCAAACUCCAAGGAGCCCUCCUAGACUCAGGCCUCCAGCCGUCCAGUGGCACUUUGAUUUAUACACCAUGCCGACACUCAGGAGACGACAGCUGUACUUGCUCAUUCUGAACCAAUGCUGGUCCGACCGCAUCCUAACAGCCACCAUUAAUAAUUCAGCCCACAUGUGGGCCAGGUCCCCCGUCAGGGGCGUGUGAGAGGCAGCCCCAC